UUAUUUAAAACAAGGUAAAGAGAAGAGAUACGGCACACACAGACACAGGUGACUUUUGUUUUUUCAAUUACUCUGAAGCGUACCAGUUAUACAUUGUUACCACUUCACCUUAUCCUUUGCCUCUGAGUGAAUCUCCAUAGUCCUUUUAUCAUGUAGACGGUAAUCACCUCCCUUUUUGUGUCCACUGCUGGGGUCAGAAUUACCAGUGGGCUCACGUAACAAAGGCAGUUUGGAGUCACUGAGCUAAUACAAUGGUUACUUAGGGAAAGGGGAGCCCCCUGAGAGCUUCAGCCUUUCUCACCUUAGUCAACAGAAAGGAUUACUUUCCUAGAGUUGUUAAUUAUCAGCUUGAAAGCCUAGAAGACUUCAUAGGGAUUCCUGGGAGCAGUCAAAAGGCAUAGAGAGCACCUGAGCAGUUGUAGGAGAGCCCGCACCCAGGGAUGCAGGGGAGGCACUGUGGAUGAAGUACGCCGCCUCCAGCCUCCACCGUGGACUUACCACUUCUCCUCUUCUACUUGCACUCCCACGGACUGGAACUUACUGGACGUCUUACUCUCUGCCAUUUUCUCUGACUCUUCGGCGUCGUCCACCUGAAGGAAUCAAGCAAACAGAGUUGUUUCCAUUGUCUCACUGGAAAAGCGGAGGUGCUCUCCCCUCAGGCCUCUGGGAUGUGAUGUGACUGUUCUGUGACUUACAACCUCUUCGAUCCACAUUUGUGCAUCUGAUAGCAGCAAUUACUACAUUCUUAGCAUGCUCUUGGGUUCUGCUAAUAUUUUCUAGGAACAUUUUUUUUAGUAUGUGUGUGUUCACCCGAGUAUAUAUAUGCGUACCAUAUGUGUGCAUGGGGAGACCAGAAGAGGGCAGUAGACCCCCUGAAAGCUGGAGUUACAGGCAGUUGUGAACCACUAUGUCCCUGCUGGAUCUGAGCCCCGGUCCUCUGCCAAAGCAGAAGUUGUGCUCUUAACCACCUAGCUAUCUCUCUAGCCACUGACUCUGAUUACUUUAAUAAAACACAGUUUUAUUUACUUCCAAAGCUGACAAAUGUCUACGAUUCCUCCACAGAUUUAUAAGCACAGUCAUUCCUUGGUCUCCACAGGAACUGGUUCUAGGACCACCAUAGAUAUCCACAUUCAAGAAUGCUCAGAAUCUUACAGUAAUAGCAUAGUGCCUACCCAUUACUACAUCCAUCCUCCUUGUCCACAGCCACCGCUAGAGCAUUUCCAUUUCAUAGUAUUUAUACGAUAUGCAGAGUUGCAGACUGGACACUUAAGAAAACAAGGAGUCUUAUCAUCGUAUUCAUAUACAUAUAUAUAUGUGUGUGUGUUUUGGGGGCUAGAGAGAGAUAGCUCUGAGGUUAGGAACAUUUCCAGCACAUAGUGGCUCACAACUGCCUUUAACUCCAGUUCCAAGGCAUCCAACAUCCUUUUUUUGCAGGCUUCUAUGUAAACAUGGUACACAUACAUGCACUCAGGUACAGUCACAUAUACACACAUAGAAUAAGUAAAUAAAAUCUAAACAGU
Non-coding RNA from Rattus norvegicus (Norway rat), 1520 nucleotides. NCBI's taxonomy places the organism in Eukaryota, Metazoa, Chordata, Mammalia, Rodentia, Muridae. The record is from RefSeq and is a predicted model, not a curated record.